AGUGAACGCUGGCGGCAGGCCUAACACAUGCAAGUCGAGCGGCAGCGCGUCCGACCACCCUCGGGUGGUCGGAUGGCGGCGAGCGGCGGACGGGUGAGGAAUGCAUCGGAAUCUGCCUCGUUGUGGGGGAUAACGUAGGGAAACUUACGCUAAUACCGCAUACGACCUACGGGUGAAAGUGGGGGACCUUCGGGCCUCACGCGAUGAGAUGAGCCGAUGCCGGAUUAGCUAGUUGGCGGGGUAAAGGCCCACCAAGGCGACGAUCCGUAGCUGGUCUGAGAGGAUGAUCAGCCACACUGGAACUGAGACACGGUCCAGACUCCUACGGGAGGCAGCAGUGGGGAAUAUUGGACAAUGGGGGCAACCCUGAUCCAGCCAUGCCGCGUGUGUGAAGAAGGCCUUGG
This 404-nucleotide ribosomal RNA is filed under the name uncultured bacterium. RNAcentral's name for it is "bacterial SSU rRNA". It matches the Rfam family "Bacterial small subunit ribosomal RNA", at positions 30 to 420 of the family's 1533-position model. The record is from RNAcentral.